This 72-nucleotide transfer RNA is filed under the name Mageeibacillus indolicus UPII9-5. RNAcentral's name for it is "Clostridiales genomosp. BVAB3 str. UPII9-5 tRNA". It matches the Rfam family "tRNA". Rfam says of the family: Transfer RNA (tRNA) molecules are approximately 80 nucleotides in length. Their secondary structure includes four short double-helical elements and three loops (D, anti-codon, and T loops). The record is from Rfam by way of RNAcentral. Lineage: Bacteria; Bacillati; Bacillota; Clostridia; Eubacteriales; Oscillospiraceae.
UGGGAUGUAGCCAAGUGGUAAGGCACGGGACUUUGACUCCCGCAUGCGCAGGUUCGAGCCCUGCCAUCCCAG